CUUGGUCAUUUAGAGGAAGUAAAAGUCGUAACAAGGUUUCCGUAGGUGAACCUGCGGAAGGAUCAUUAAUGAAAUAAACCUGAUGAGUUGUUGCUGGUUCUCUAGGGAGCAUGUGCACACUUGUCAUCUUUAUAUCUCCACCUGUGCAUCUUUUGUAGACCUGGAUACCUCUCUGAGUGCUAGCCACUCAGGUUUGAGGAAUUGACUUUAUGUCUUUCCUUACCUUUCCAGGCCUAUGUUCAUUCAUAUACCCAUAUGUAUGUCUUAGAAUGUAAUCAAAUGGGCCUUAGUGCCUAUAAACCUAUACAACUUUCAGCAACGGAUCUCUUGGCUCUCGCAUCGAUGAAGAACGCAGCGAAAUGCGAUAAGUAAUGUGAAUUGCAGAAUUCAGUGAAUCAUCGAAUCUUUGAACGCACCUUGCGCUCCUUGGUAUUCCGAGGAGCAUGCCUGUUUGAGUGUCAUUAAUAUAUCAACCUUUUCAAAUUUUAUUUGAUCAGUGUUGGAUGUGGGGGGUUUAUUUUUUUUGCUGGUCUUCAUUUCUGAAGGUCAGCUCCCCUGAAAUGCAUUAGCGGAACAAUUUGUGGAUCGUUCAUUGGUGUGAUAACUAUCUACGCUAUUAACGUGAAACAGUUCAGCUUCUAACAGUCCAUUUACUUGGACAAUUUUUUAUUCAAUGUGGCCUCAAAUCAGGUAGGACUACCCGCUGAACUUAAGCAUAUCAAUAAGCGG
This 729-nucleotide ribosomal RNA is filed under the name Phlegmacium calyptrodermum. Its description in RNAcentral is "eukaryotic LSU rRNA". The stretch from base 308 to 461 matches the Rfam family "5.8S ribosomal RNA". The record is from RNAcentral. Lineage: Eukaryota; Fungi; Basidiomycota; Agaricomycetes; Agaricales; Cortinariaceae.